This 278-nucleotide ribosomal RNA is filed under the name uncultured eukaryote. RNAcentral describes it as "partial 18S ribosomal RNA". It matches the Rfam family "Eukaryotic small subunit ribosomal RNA", at positions 21 to 302 of the family's 1831-position model. The record is from RNAcentral.
UAGUCAUAUGCUUGUCUCAAAGAUUAAGCCAUGCAUGUCUAAGUAUAAGCAAUCUAUACGGUGAAACUGCGAAUGGCUCAUUAAAUCAGUUAUCGUUUAUUUGAUAGUACCUUGCUACAUGGAUACCUGUGGUAAUUCUAGAGCUAAUACAUGCUAAAAACCUCGACUUCGGAAGGGGUGUAUUUAUUAGAUAAAAAACCAAUGCCCUUCGGGGCUCCUUGGUGAUUCAUAAUAACUUAACGAAUCGCAUGGCCUUGCGCCGGCGAUGGUUCAUUCAA